RNAcentral lists this ribosomal RNA (497 nucleotides) under uncultured bacterium. RNAcentral describes it as "partial 16S ribosomal RNA". It matches the Rfam family "Bacterial small subunit ribosomal RNA", at positions 28 to 507 of the family's 1533-position model. The record is from RNAcentral.
GAUGAACGCUGGCGGCGUGCCUAAUACAUGCAAGUCGAGCGAACAGACGAGGAGCUUGCUCCUCUGACGUUAGCGGCGGACGGGUGAGUAACACGUGGAUAACCUACCUAUAAGACUGGGAUAACUUCGGGAAACCGGAGCUAAUACCGGAUAAUAUAUUGAACCGCAUGGUUCAAUAGUGAAAGACGGUUUUGCUGUCACUUAUAGAUGGAUCCGCGCCGCAUUAGCUAGGUGGUAAGGUAACGGCUUACCAAGGCAACGAUGCGUAGCCGACCUGAGAGGGUGAUCGGCCACACUGGAACUGAGACACGGUCCAGACUCCUACGGGAGGCAGCAGUAGGGAAUCUUCCGCAAUGGGCGAAAGCCUGACGGAGCAACGCCGCGUGAGUGAUGAAGGUCUUCGGAUCGUAAAACUCUGUUAUUAGGGAAGAACAAAUGUGUAAGUAACUAUGCACGUCUUGACGGUACCUAAUCAGAAAGCCACGGCUAACUACGUG